RNAcentral lists this ribosomal RNA (497 nucleotides) under uncultured bacterium. RNAcentral describes it as "partial 16S ribosomal RNA". It matches the Rfam family "Bacterial small subunit ribosomal RNA", at positions 28 to 507 of the family's 1533-position model. The record is from RNAcentral.
GAUGAACGCUGGCGGCGUGCCUAAUACAUGCAAGUCGAGCGAACAGACGAGGAGCUUGCUCCUCUGACGUUAGCGGCGGACGGGUGAGUAACACGUGGAUAACCUACCUAUAAGACUGGGAUAACUUCGGGAAACCGGAGCUAAUACCGGAUAAUAUAUUGAACCGCAUGGUUCAAUAGUGAAAGACGGUUUUGCUGUCACUUAUAGAUGGAUCCGCGCCGCAUUAGCUAGUUGGUAAGGUAACGGCUUACCAAGGCAACGAUGCGUAGCCGACCUGAGAGGGUGAUCGGCCACACGGGAACUUAGACACGGUCCAGACUCCUACGGGAGGCAGCAGUAGGGAAUCGUCCGCAGUGGGCGAAAGCCUGACGGAGCAACGCCGCGUGAAUGAUGAAGGUCUUCGGAUCGUAAAACUCUGUUAUUAGGGAAGAACAAAUGUGUAAGUAACUAUGCACGUCUUGACGGUACCGAAUCAGAAAGCCACGGCUAACUACGUG